Molecule: long non-coding RNA, 9741 nt
Filed under: Equus caballus (horse)
Lineage: Eukaryota; Metazoa; Chordata; Mammalia; Perissodactyla; Equidae
Description: lncRNA (ENSECAG00000051079.1)
Source: RNAcentral
CGGGGGCCUCCUCUGACCUUGCGCUUCGCUCCUAAAGGUCACUGCACGGUGCUCUAGGGGGUCAGGUUCCUGCAGUUGGGGACCGGGGGAAGGCAGUAAUCAAUCUGGGCCCCGCCAGGCCAGGGGCGCCGAUCCAGAGCAGCCCUCCUGUGCCCGCUGCCCGGCAGGGUUAUUUAUAACCGCGGGUCGCCUUACCUCCUGACCUUUAGCAUCUCCUCGCCGCCCACUGCGAACAAACAGUCCUCUGUGUGCACCCUGGGCAGGCCUCACUGCAGCCCUGCAGGAAGCAGGAUGCUGACCCGGAGUCGGCGCCCCCUCGCUCCCUAGGGUGGACCCAGCCACGUGUGAGUUGGGGGGAGGUGGGUGCGGUGGGAGAAAGGUGCGAGAAAGACUUAGAACUACUCUUGUUCCCUUGGUUCCCAGGUUGAAAAUGUUGGUCUAUUCUGGGCGGCAGUUUUAUUUACAAUGUGGGGCUCCCCAGCCUGGGUCUGCCCAAAGGGGUGCCCUCUUCAAAGCCAGCAGGAAGGACGCAGCACUGGUGACUGGACACCCCCUCCCCCCGCACAGGCGUGGUCCCUGGAAUCACACAGGACAACUGUGCUCUCCCCAGCAGCAGCCCUGCCUUCUUAGAUGGCAGCUGAAGCUCAGAGAGGGAAGCGACUGGUCCAACGUCACACAGCCACCCAUGGCAGAUUCCCCAGCUCCUGGCUGAUGGGAAGCAGCUGGAUCAGAACUCCUGAUUAUGACCUGGAGGAGCCACUGUAAAAGGAGGCUGGGGAUAGGGAGAUGGCCCAUUCAUUCAACACGUUUUUGUUGGUCACUUACUGGGCGCCAGGCACCAUUCCAGGCAGAAAUCCUCACCCUUGUGGGGCUGAUAGUCUGGGGACCUGGAGGGACCUGGAGCCUGCGGUCCCUUGAUGGAGUCCCAUUCCAGGCAGCUGCUGAGGGUCUUGAGUCCCAGAGAGGGAGACUGAGUCAGGGAGCGAGGGCUGGGCAGAGGGAGGGUGGGUGUGGGCCUGCAGCCUUGGGCUGAGUAUUUGGUGCCGCCGGCCAGCCAAAGCCAAGUGAGUGUCAACAUCCCAAGGCCACGAGGGCUUUGUCUCAACAGUGGGCGCCCUCCCUGCACGCCUUCAGAUGACCUUGCACCCAGAGCGGAGGGUGAAAGUCCCACACAGUGCCCAAUCUUGGCAGUCAUCCUGGAGGAAGCCAUGGACUGGGCCCAGCCAAGGGGCUGGUUCUGCCCAGUAUGGGAGGAACUGAGUCAGGAGGUUUGAGGAGGGCAGCCGUUAGGGAGGAGCGGGCCUGGAUGCUUCCUUCCUUUUUGGCCACGCUCUCAGACACUUUGAAGCACUUGGAAAACUUUGGCUGUGUGACUUGCCCAUCCCCUUGCCCUCUCUGGGCCACAGUUCCCACAAAUAAAAGUGAAGGGGUCAGCUGGGAUGAGCAGUUUCAGCUCUGGCUGCCUGGGGUUCUUGUCUAGGGACUCAGAGACCCUCCCACUCGAGUCUGGCUCAGCCGUGAGUGUUCCCCUUGGCCCAGUGAAGGCCAAGGGCACAGGCCGGGGGUGGAGUCAGGAGUUGCCGCAGCUGUGGGUAGCUGGGUGGCCAACAACCCCUUUCAGUGUGUGAGGAAGUGCCGAGUACACUUAUGUGUGCCUGUGUGAGCAUGUAGGACGUGCUGUAGCCACGUGUGUGUAGGAGUGUGCCUUUGUGGGUAGGCGGUUGUAUAAAACAUUAUGUACACGGGAAGGAGUGUGUGUCUUGGUGUGUGUUUAUGUGGGGAUCAAGAGGACAGUGUGUGUACAAGUGUGUCUGUGGCGUCACACAUGUGUAGGUUUCAGAUGAGGAAACCGAGGCGCAGAGAGGCAAAGGGAUGUGUCGAAAGCCACACAGCUGGAGCAAGUGGUGGAACUGGCCUGGGAACAUGGGUUGGUGUGUUUUCCCUCCACCCCACAGCGACAUGGUGGGGGUGGGGGUGGGGGUGGGGAGUUGGCAGAGGCAGCCCUUUAAAAACUGCAGUAGGGCCACCACAAGUAAACAGAAGCCUUGACAGCUGUCGGGCCCUCUCUCCAAGCACAAGGCGGAGGCUGGCCCUGUUUCCAGCAGAAGGCCUUGGUCCGGCCGGCUGCCUUGACUCAGAGGACUCAGGCUCGCGUUGCUCCUUUGUGGGCUGGAGGGGCCCCGAGAUCACAGACCCCGGAGUGGGUGUGAGCACCGUCUCUGCACCCAGAAGCUGAGAUCAGCUUUUGGGCUGCUCUUUCUUCAGUCAUUUACUGGUUUCCCAUGAUUAUAAUAACUACCCCUGCUGAGCUUUAUAGUUCACAAAGUACUUUCACAAACACUCUUUCAUUUACUCCUCACAUCAGCCCUGUGAUGAGGAGUUAAUAUGACCAUUUUAUGGAAACAGAAACUGGAGUUCAGGGAGGGAGGUUCCGGGAAUGGCCUCAGAUCAGAAGGCCAGCAGUGGCCCUCACGCCAGCAUUCCCGAGCCCCGGGCCAGACCCGGCUCCUUCCUUCCACGGGGCAGCCUUCUCAGAGGAGUGCGGUGGCUUCUGGAGGGGCCGGCCUAUCUCAGUCUGCCAGCAGUGACCAGACAAUCUGCUCUCAUCAUCUGGGAGCUGGGUGAAGACCCCUCCCCACCCUCACCUCCUGCAAAUAUUGUGUGUUGGGGGUGGGGGGGACACAAAGAAGUAGAAGUGACUGCUGAGUGAGGGAGCUGGAGAGAGUACUGGGGAGGGGUCCCCCGCUGCCUUGGCCUUGGGCCCCGCAGAUGCAUGGAAGGGACCAGCAGUUCCUGGAACACGAGCCCAUCGCCGGGGUGCCCAGUGCCAGCUGUUGCCAUCUGCUUGUGGCAAAACGAGAAAAAUAGGACAAUACAGUGAAGUUUUCCUAAAGCUAGACCUACUCGAUCUGAAGUACGGCCCUUUCCCUGGAGCUGUGUAUUUUCAGGGUCUGUGCAUGUGUGUGUUUAAAAAGGACCUUUUCUUUGACAUUUUCUUUAAUGUCCUUAACCGAGCAAAAUAAAAGACUAGUGACCAUGUCAGAUCCUAAAUCGGCUUUUUGGAAAUGUUAGUGACUAAGGAAUCCGAAUGCCUGGGAAUCACGGAGCUGGCCCUGAUUCGGUGAGCCCUGGCACGGAGGACUUGUUUUUGAAUUCAGGGAUGAUCUCUGAACAGCUGGAAAAACCCCGGGGGAGGAGAGGUUGGGGUUCCUGCCUGGACUCAGCCCCUCAGCCCUGGAUCCCCAGGAAACCUGAGCAGAGGGAACAUUAGAGUCACUGCACAGGGAAUUCUGAGAAAGGCCUCGGGCUGAUUCUCCGUGCUGCACCCCCUCAGCCUCUUCUCUGACCCCCAGCCAGAGGGAAUGUACCCUCCAACCUCAGCCCUGCCUCCCCCAGCCCCCCAAGGCUGGAUCCAAAAUAGCCCAGGCCCCGGAGGAGACGUCAUGGGUCAGACUGGCUGCCUGCCCUCAGAGAGGGCAUGUCGGUAAUGCCCAAGGCCAAAUAUAGAGGGACACCAGACACCGCUGGGCCACCCAGGGCCUGGGGAGCCCGGCUGGCAUCUCAGGGCCUCCCCCACCCUCAUCCCUUCCCAGCCCUGCACCCCCAACCCGGGCUCCGGAGGCCAGCGCCUCCUGGCCAGGCCCACCCAGCCAGGACAUGUCCCAGCAAGCCCAGAGCCGAGCUGGAGGCUGGCCCGACGGGGUGCUGGGCCUGGGCUGGGCCUGGGCGUGGGGACACCCCUCCAUCUGGGGGUCUCAAAGCACUUUUAUAAGCGUCACUUCCCACAGGCUGCUGCCGAGAUCAGGAGGCCAAGAGGACCUGGUGUCUCCGGGGGGCCGGCUCCUGCCUCUGUUCCUCCCAGCUCGGGAAGGAGACCAGGCCGUAAACCUGCGGCGUGGGAGGCUUGGGAGGCGGGGGGCGGGCAGGCGGCCAGGUCUAACCCGAGUGAACUCCCGGUGGAAUCGAACUGCAAAUAAUGAGUCCUGAUUGCCGAGGUGGCCUCCACCCGCCACUCCCGGGAAUUAAAAGUCAAAGGGCAGAGCUGCUGACGCAAAUGUCAAGGGAGACACGCGGUGUGGAACAGCUGGGAUCCUGCUCCCCGGCCUGCCGCCCAAGGUCGCCGCCCCCAGCGCCCUGGAUCCGGCGUCCCCCAGGCUGGGCCCCGAGAGGCCCCAGUUCCCCAGGCGCAGCAGGGAAGGGGGCUCGGCUUCCUCUCCCUCCUCCUGGUUCUAAGGUCAACAGAACUCGAUUGGAGGAGGUUCAUCAGAAAUCCCCGUGCAACGGCGUUGCCGGACGCCUGCGGACGCGGAGAGGCAGCAGCUCGAGUCCUCUGGGCCUUCCCCGCCUCCCCCGCCAACAAGGGGGAGGAAACUUCUGCCGACGGGGGCGCGUGGCUCGCUAACACCUGCUGUGUCCCCUAGGUCGUCCCAGGGCCGGCACACCGUGGGCAGCUGCACCGUGGUCUGUGCACCAGUGGUGACCCCCAGCGGUCAGUGUGGGACUUGACCUUGGACCCAGCACUGAAGCCUCCGCCAGGCCAGGGGCUGGGAAACCCCGGGGGCGCCAGGUUUGGAGAUUUGAUCUUGGAAGGGAGGUGUUGGCGUUCGGAGGUGUUGGCGUUCGGAGGUGUUUUUCUCUGUGCUGAAUUUUCCUAAUCGCCCUGUGGCUGGAUCUCAGCCUGUGUCCCACUGUGAGCCAGUCAGCCUCAACAUGUCUAAGAGGCGCAUCAUCACUGAGCCCCUACCGGCUCUUACUCCUGACUUCCCUAUUUCUAUUAAUAGCACCACUACCCUCCCAGUCCCUCAGGCUCCAAACCUCCGUGUCAUUGUCCACAUCUCCCCACACUGGGCUGGCUGACCGGUCCUGCCCCUCCUCACCGUGCAGGUCAUUCUUCCACCCCUCCCGCGAUACUCAUGGCCACUGCCCCAGUCAAUGGACCUCUCUCUCACCUGAGCUACUGUCAUCCUCGACAAUGCCACUGGGUCAGACCUGGCUAUGUGACCGGUCCCUUCCACUUACUGGCUGUGUGACCUUGGGCAAGCUACUUAACUUCUCUGAGCUCAACUUCCUCAGCUGUAAAAUGAGGAUAAUAAUUACAGUCCCUACCUCAUAGAGCACUGCAUGAAUUGUGACGUAUGUGAAGACCCUGACACAUAGGAAAUGCUCAGUGACUGUGAAUUAUUAGAGAUCAUCCAUCCAAUCCAACUCUUCCAUUUUACAAACAAGGAAACUGAGGCUCAGAGAGCUGGAAGGAGAGCUAACGUCUGGCAUGGUGUCUUUACAACUUGCUACAGGGGUCCAGCCGGGUGGCACAGUGGUUAAGUUCACACGUUCUGCUUCGGUGGCCUGGGGUUUGCCGGUUCGGAUCCUGGGUGUGGGCCUACACACCAUACUGUGGUAGGCAUCCCACAUAUAAAGUAGAGGAAGAUGGGCAUGGAUGUUAGCUCAGGGCCAGUCUUCCUCAGCAAAAUGAGGCGGAUUGGUGGCAGAUGUUAGCCAGGGCUAAUCUUCCUCAAAAAUAGAAUAAAAUAAAAAUAAAACUUGCUACAGAGCAGGGGGAGUGGAAGUUCCCGGAGUCUUGAAGCUCCUCCACCACUGCCCACAUCAUCGCGAUCUGGAACCCAGAUCCAAAGGCCCCCUGCUGAGUUCACGGGGCACACCCUCCUGCCUUCAGGGGCAGGCAUGCUUGGGUGAGUGCUGAGGUCGCAAAUACCUUCUGGGAUGAGACAACUACAGGUGACGUCCAGCGGCUGUGAGUCAGGGAGACCCAUCUGCAAGGUGACGAGUGAGGCUGGGCACUCGGGCCGCAGGGGUGCUGGGCAUGCAGGGGUCGUGCCAGACGUCAGACAUCCAAAUAGGGUGGGCACCUCCUCCCGCAACAACCCCGCCCUCACACUCCUCCCCCAGCUCCCACUCACCCCCUCCAGUGCCCAGGCCUUCGCGUGGGGGUCCGUGGGGGCAGGGCAGGCUGCCUCCCGUCCAGAUAGUCCAGGCGGACGUUCUGAACAGUCCCUCGUGAAUGAGCACCUGGGGGCCAUACGCUCUUUGAAACUGAAGGUGGGAGCCCUGUUCUGGGGACAGGUUCUCAAAGCGGACUUCUCUCCACAAAGAGAAGAUGAUCAAGAGCAGCAAGAGCAGAUGAUCCAGGUUCAAACGUGGGCCUGUCCUAGAGUCCUAGGACACCUCCUGUCUAAGCCAGAGGUUCUCAAACAGGUUUUGCUCCUGGGGACACCUGGCAAUGCCUGGAGACAUGUUUGGUUGUUAUACUGGGAGGGAGGGUGUGCAUGACCUACUGGCAUCUAGUGGGGAGAGGCCAAGGGUGUUGCUAAAUAUCCUACAAUGCACACAGCACAGACACACAACGAAGAACAUUCCAGCCCCCGUGUCAGUAGUACAGCGGCCUCGAGGAGGAAGGGAGGCCGUGCCUGUGAAGAACCCGGGACUGGGCCUGGCUCAUGCUCCGUGUUGGCAAGGGACCUUUCUUUUCUAAGGCCUUCUCUCAGCCUGGACACCCAAGCCGGUGGGCAGAGGUGGAGUGGGCAUAUACUCACAUGAGAAUUCUGAGAAAUGAUCUUGGUGUUUCUGCCACACCCAGCCUGGGGCAGAGUUUCUAGAAGAGUCUGGUGCUCACUCAUGAACCCUUUCAACAAGGACAAAGCAGGCCCUGGAAGGAGCGGCCCGCCCUCGGGCUGCUCACCCUGCCACCUCCAGCAGGCCUCCCCGUGACCCAUCCCCCACCCCUCUCACUUGCAUUUGUGAGGGAGAGAGGGGAGAGGAUGGGGCAGAAGCCCUCCUCUGAGCUCUCCUCAGACCCGCCGAGGCCGGGCAGGCAGGAGGACGUGCUAGCGGCAGCCCUGCACAGAGGCAGGGGACGGCUCCAGGGCACCUUCGAAGGUGUGUGAAGCUGAGUCAAGGAGCUGGCAAGCCCUCCUGCCACUCACCUCAGCGGGCAGCUGGUUCUCCUUCAGCCUCAGCAGCCGUGGGGUCAAGUGUCUGCUCUACAGAAGCUGGUCCCAGAUAAGCCACCGCCUUCUUCCCUGGGAUGGGGUGGUGUAGCCCCAUCAGAACCCCCACACCCUGGCCCCUGAGCUCCGCUUUGCUGGUUUACCCAACUCAAGUAAAAUGGAUUAUCGGAUUACGGUCGGAGUGGGUGGAAGGGUCAGGUCGAUCAACAGAGAUGGGACUCUUAGACCCCUUUCUGACACUGCUCAUUUGUGGGGUCUGGGGGAUUGGGGCAUUGCAAUCACACCCUCUCCCCUCGGGUCUCAAUUUCAGGCACGUGUUUAAUGGGGCACACCACCUUCCAAACCUUCGGUGUGAGGCUGUGUGGGGGUGGGGCUUCUGUCUGCGUCUGGAAGCCCAGCUGACUUCACGACAAGCCCAGACACGCAGCUGUUUCUGAAACAGAAGCCGCAGCGGUGGGGGAAGCGCCAAGCGCCGAGGCUGGGGGCAGAGAGGAGACCCCCGGACACCAGACUGAUGUGUACAGUUAACAGGGCCUAACCAAAGGGUCUGCACUGCGUCUCCAGGUGGGAGCUGCCUCCUGCCAUGGGAGUCUUCUCUGGGGAAACAUUUUUGUCUUGAUUGGAAAUUUCUUCCUGAUGUGUGACAUGUGACCUCCACCUCUUCUUCUAGAGCUUGGCUCUGCUGCCAGGCUGAGGCUGCCCACCUCCCCCGAAGUCCCCUCCCCUCCAAUACUCUGUUCCUUCCCAGGGAUGCUCAGAGGCUGCAGGGCAUCUUGCCUUAUGCUGGUCCUCCCCUGCAGGGACGCCAAAGCUGGGGGAGGGGCACCUGGGCCUGUCUGGCUUCCUGCCCAAGAAUAGAAAACUGAGGGUCACAGAGAAAAUGACAGCCUAAAGCUGGUGGCUACUCAGAGCAGCCUGGGACGGCGGUCUGAGCUUCCUGGGACGAGGCCUGGCGUCUGGGUGCCCUGUAACUCAGCAGGCCCCUCGGGAGUCGCCCCACGGUGGUGCGGGGGAGAGCAGACUGCAGAGUGGACUUGGGGAUUUAUUCCAGUCACAGAUGCUCUCCCUCUAAUCCUCACCCCCUCCUUUUUCCUUUUCAGCAGCAGUUAUAAAAUCCAGGAAAUAAAUGUGGAUUGAUGGCCUAUAAAGGGCUUAGUUAGUGCUGUGACCUGCCGAGUUAUGUAACUCCUAUUUAUUAUCAGCCUUGGAUGAAGUUUCCAUUGAAGCAACUCACUAAGCCGAUUCCGUGACAUUUCCUUUAGCCUUGUUCAGAGGUGGCUGUGGCAGAAAUUCCUCUGCAACUUCAAAGACCAGAAAUUGGUGUGAUGCCAAAGGGGGCCUAGGGAGAAGCUCUCUGAAGGCUCAGCUGCCGUCCUAAAGUAGACUUUUGGAGACCUCUUCCCAGGUUUGAGAAGGAAAAGAUGGAUACCUGUCCAAGGGAGUGGAAGACCCAGAGAACUUAACAGUGUCUCUCUUCCUAAUUAAGACAUAUUCCUCCCAUUCAUGGAAGUGAUGCCUUGAUGCCUCAGGGACAAACUGGUGCAUCAAACAAAGUAGCUGGUUUGUACCAAGUGGUACAGGCUGCGUGAAUUCCCUCCAUAAGGAUCUGGCUGGGCAUGAAGGCUGUUAGUCCAUACAACCCAAACUGUACACGGCACCGAUGAUCCCCCCCUCAAAGAAUGUCACCUUAGAAGUAGCCUUCGAGCUCAUCUGAGCCAAGCCCUGGCUUUUACUGAUAAGGAAACUGAGUCCAGAGAGAGAUGACGACUUUGGAUAAAUCAGCGGCAGGGAGGGGCUACACCUAUGAUUCCUUAUCGUGACUUGGUUUUUGAGAUGCUGAUAUCUGGUUCACAUCAUAUCACACCAGAGGAGUCUUUGGAAGAAAGGGCUGUCAUCUUGGGGCCCCAGAAACAUGGCCUUAACACGGGGGAGGAUGGUCUGAUAAACCCGCAGUUGGGCAAAGCCCAGGACUGGGUCUCUAAAUCAGCCAAGGCUGCCGAGAGACAUCUGCCCACAGGCAUCUGCCCACUGUCGGCUCCUCUCCACCCAGGCUCCUCCAGGAAGGACAAAUGCUUGAGAUGCCUCUAAGAAUCAGUACUGGAGUCUUUUUUGGUGAAGAACAUGCUAAACUUUUGCUCCUAGUUCCUUCCUUACAGCCCCAGGUAAAUUCUCCAAGAUAGAAAUGUAGACUGGCUACAAAAUAAAAGCCCGUUUCCACAGAAGCCUAACAGGCUGAAAUGCAGCAAAAGGUGAGCCGCUGAAAAUUCACCCCAGGACUUGUCACUUGUCUGGGCUAGCCAAAGGUCAGGCAAAGUCAGCUGGACGAGAAAAGACAACAGGAAAAGACAUCGAGGCCUCCGAGGGGGGAGGAUACAAAUAUUUGUUUACUGGUGAGUAGCACUGUACAUGAUCUCAUUUAAUCUUCCCAACAAUCCUGUGCGGAAGAUAGCAUUCUACAAUACUCCUGAUGAAGAAAUUCAUUUUUGAAAGACCGCUCCACUCUCUUUGGGCGUGAGAUGUCCUCAAAAAUCUUAACAGAUGGAGGUUUGCUUUCUCGCUCGGGCAGAGCAAUGCUAAGCUUUUUAAUCAUGCAGAAAGCAUAUGACCCUCCCUGCCACCAUUCUACACUCUGCCGUGCAUCUCAUGUUAAUAUUUGAUUUAGUUCUGUACGUCUGCUCUCUACCCGCUUAUAUGCAGUGACUGGAAGUUUAAUUCUUGUCAUAAAGCAUUAUGAGCAACAGAUACUGAAUAAAUAUGUUUUGAUGGCAUCUAAAAU